This is a long non-coding RNA of Balaenoptera musculus (blue whale), 758 nucleotides long. RefSeq lists it as uncharacterized. The record is from RefSeq and is a predicted model, not a curated record. The transcript has 3 exons. Lineage: Eukaryota; Metazoa; Chordata; Mammalia; Artiodactyla; Balaenopteridae.
GCAGCUCAGGAGCCCAGGAGAGCUGUGUCCUCCCCGGCCCGGCCCGCAAGGGCCACCAGGACCCUGCGGCCAGAGCUUCCCAGGAAAGGCAGCUGGGUAGCCCAGGAGUCAGAGCAAGAUGGGAGACGCACUCGCUAGGCCAUUUGGAAGUGACUGGCUGGAAAUGUGACGUGGGAAAUGGGUCUCCCCCUCCAGCCUCGCUGACGACCUUCCCCUUGAACCACCACCUGCCAAGAGAGAAGCAGCAGUCCAGCCCCUUGGGAUUCGGAUUCGCAGGAGGCCAGGGACAGCCAGGAAGAUGUGGCUAGUGGCGCAACCUUCCGGGAACAGCUGCUGGGGCAGAACUCCCACCAGGACCAGCUGGCUGCCACCCCACACAUAUACUUGGCUCCCCAGGACUGUCCAGGGGGUCUCAAGUGGGACAGACACCCAGCUGGCCUGGCUCACAGCCCGGGGGGAGCUGCCAGCCUGGCAGCUGUGCCUACCCCAUCAGGGCUUCCCUUGAGGCCAAUUUGGGCCAGGAGCUGGAGGGGAGGAGACCCAGUGGCCGAAGCCACCCAAACGCAGAAUCAGCUGGGACACAAUCCUGAGCUCAGGCCUCUACGUCCAAUCCCAUUUCCCCAGUGUCCUUGAGUGCCUGCCCUGAGCAGGAGGGUUCGACUGGCAGACAGAGAUGGUGGGGUCCACAGUGCCCCAAAGCAGGGACCCCCCCAGGCACAAGGGUUAGCGCACACCUGGCCCUGCGGCCCCAGCCCCCG